Molecule: ribosomal RNA, 95 nt
Filed under: Clostridium perfringens
Lineage: Bacteria; Bacillati; Bacillota; Clostridia; Eubacteriales; Clostridiaceae
Description: partial 23S ribosomal RNA
Rfam family: Bacterial large subunit ribosomal RNA
Source: RNAcentral
UCCCUUGAAGAACACAAGGUUGAUAGGUCGGGGGUGUAAGUAUGGUAACAUGUUCAGCUGACCGAUACUAAUAGAUCGAGGGCUUGACCAAAUAU